This 690-nucleotide ribosomal RNA is filed under the name uncultured bacterium. Its description in RNAcentral is "bacterial SSU rRNA". It matches the Rfam family "Bacterial small subunit ribosomal RNA", at positions 798 to 1488 of the family's 1533-position model. The record is from RNAcentral.
GGCCGCUUUAUGAUACAGCUGUUGGCGAUUUCCGCUCGUGGCUCAGCGAAAGCGAUAAGUUAUCCUCCUGGGGAGUACGACCGCAAGGUUGAAACUCAAAGGAAUUGACGGGGGCCCGCACAAGCGGAGGAACAUGUGGUUUAAUUCGAUGAUACGCGAGGAACCUUACCCCGGCUCGAACGGUGCAGGAAUAUGGUAGAGAUAUCAUAGCUAGCAAUAGUCUGUAUCGAGGUGCUGCAUGGUUGUCGUCAGCUCGUGCCGUGAGGUGUAGGCUUAAGUGCCAUAACGAGCGCAACCCUUGUCGUUAGUUACCAUCAAGUAAUGUUGGGGACUCUAGCGAGACUGCCACCGUAAGGUGUGAGGAAGGGGGGGAUGACGUCAAAUCAGCACGGCCCUUACGUCCGGGGCGACACACGUGUUACAAUGGUAGGUACAGAAGGCAGCUACCCAGCGAUGGGAUGCCAAUCUCCAAAACCUAUCUCAGUUCGGAUCGGAGUCUGCAACUCCACUCCGUGAAGUUGGAUUCGCCUAGUAAUCCCAUAUCAGCCCAUUAUGCGGUGAAAUACGUUCCCCGGGCCUUGGUACACCCCCGCCCGGUCAAAGCCUUGGAAAGCUGGGGGGUGCCUGAAAUUUCUUUACCGCCAAGGAACGACCCUAGGGCAAAACCCGGUAAACUGGGGGCUUAAUCCC